UGGGGAAUUUUGGACAAUGGGCGCAAGCCUGAUCCAGCCAUGCCGCGUGAGUGAAGAAGGCCUUCGGGUUGUAAAGCUCUUUCGCAAGGGAAGAAAAGCCCCUCAAUAAUACCGGGGGGUCAUGACGGUACCUUGAUAAGAAGCACCGGCUAACUACGUGCCAGCAGCCGCGGUAAUACGUAGGGUGCGAGCGUUAAUCGGAAUUACUGGGCGUAAAGCGUGCGCAGGCGGUUUGACAAGUCAGAUGUGAAAUCCCCGGGCUCAACCUGGGAACUGCGUUUGAAACUGUCAGACUAGAGUGUGUCAGAGGGAGGUAGAAUUCCACGUGUAGCAGUGAAAUGCGUAGAGAUGUGGAGGAACACCGAUGGCGAAGGCAGCCUCCUGGGAUAACACUGACGCUCAUGCACGAAAGCGUGGGGAGCAAACAGG
This 429-nucleotide ribosomal RNA is filed under the name uncultured bacterium. Its description in RNAcentral is "bacterial SSU rRNA". It matches the Rfam family "Bacterial small subunit ribosomal RNA", at positions 355 to 776 of the family's 1533-position model. The record is from RNAcentral.